CCUACGGGAGGCAGCAGUGAGGAAUAUUGGUCAAUGGACGGAAGUCUGAACCAGCCAAGCCGCGUGAAGGAUGACGGCCCUAUGAGUUGUAAACUGCUUUUGUACGGGAAUAAAAGGUCUUACGUGUAGGGUUUUGAAUGUACCGUAUGAAUAAGGAUCGGCUAACUCCGUGCCAGCAGCCGCGGUAAUACGGAGGAUUCGAGCGUUAUCCGGAUUUAUUGGGUUUAAAGGGUGCGUAGGCUGUCGGGUAAGUUAGUGGUCAAAUGUUGGGGCUUAACCCCGAAACUGCCGUUGAUACUGGUCGUCUUGAGUGCAGAUGCGGCAGGCGGAAUGCGUAGUGUAGCGGUGAAAUGCUUAGAUAUUACGCAGAACACCGAUUGCGAAGGCAGCUUACUAAUCCGCAUCUGACGCUGAUGCUCGAAAGCGUGGGUAGCGAACAGGAUUAGAUACCCCUGUAGUC
This 460-nucleotide ribosomal RNA is filed under the name uncultured bacterium. RNAcentral describes it as "partial 16S ribosomal RNA". It matches the Rfam family "Bacterial small subunit ribosomal RNA", at positions 338 to 795 of the family's 1533-position model. The record is from RNAcentral.